RNAcentral lists this ribosomal RNA (253 nucleotides) under uncultured bacterium. RNAcentral's name for it is "partial 16S ribosomal RNA". It matches the Rfam family "Bacterial small subunit ribosomal RNA", at positions 524 to 776 of the family's 1533-position model. The record is from RNAcentral.
UACGUAGGGUGCGAGCGUUAAUCGGAAUUACUGGGCGUAAAGUGUGCGCAGGCGGCCGAGCAAGUCGAGUGUGAAAGCCCCAAGCUUAACUUGGGAACUGCGCUCGAAACUACUUGGCUAGGGUGUGGCAGAGGGAGGUGGAAUUCCACGUGUAGCGGUGAAAUGCGUAGAGAUGUGGAGGAACACCGAUGGCGAAGGCAGCCUCCUGGGCCAACACUGACGCUCAUGCACGAAAGCGUGGGGAGCAAACAGG